GCCCGCUUGGCCCAGGGGUAAGGCGUCUCACUCGUAAUGAGAAGAUCGGAGGUUCGAAUCCUCCAGCGGGCA
This is a transfer RNA of Exophiala dermatitidis, 72 nucleotides long. It matches the Rfam family "tRNA". From Rfam's summary of the family: Transfer RNA (tRNA) molecules are approximately 80 nucleotides in length. The record is from Rfam. Lineage: Eukaryota; Fungi; Ascomycota; Eurotiomycetes; Chaetothyriales; Herpotrichiellaceae.